CCCCCCCCCCCAAAACCCUCCCAGUCCAUUAACCUUUUGAAGUCUAUGAUUAACAGUUGAGCUUGUGGCAAAUGGCGUCCUAUUUGGCUAAGUAAACGUAUGGAGCGAUGAUCCUUUUCUGAAUAUACAAAUAGACCCUUCAGGCACUGGAGGGGGAUCCAUAUUCAAUUAUCCUGCCUAUUAAAACUUGUCAGGGGUCUGAAACACGACAGCCUUAUGCAAAUAUAAUUGCGCCAAUUAAACUGCAGAGGGGGCUCAGAAGGGGGGGGGGGGGUUCCGGUAGAAAGACUGGCGGCGGUUGUGUUCCAGGGUUAGUGUGUGUUUCGGUUAUAAACCUGGUUCUCCAGUGUGUGCAUACGUACGUAAGUCAAUGUGCACAUGUGUGGGCGUUCUGGGAACACUGUUCCUCGCACCCUCCCCCUCCGUCCCCCCACCACCAACACCCCCAUCCCCCAAAGCCUGCUUCCCUGCCUGCCUGUCUGUCUGUCUGUCUUCGGGGAGUUGAAGCAGCUCAAAGGAGAGGCUGCGAAUGUGGACGUGGAGAGAAAAAGGGAAGAGUGUGCAGACGAAAAAAGAGACAGAGCAGAAAAGCGUAUGAUAAACAAUAAAAUUAUAUUAACUCUGCUCAAAAGUGCCUUUUGUCACGUUAAUUUCAAAGAAGCUGAGUAACAGAGAUCCAACCUGAGCCUAAAUGAACCUCGUCAGGUCAGACAGCGUGUUGUUGUACUACCGGAUCAAUACAUCCCAGCACACAGUAUUAGCUCUGGUCACACAAUGUGUCAUCCCAGUAUUUGUGUAAGAUUUGAUGCUGUAAAUGCCUUUGCAGAGCGUUCCUUGACAUACAUCACUUUCUGGCUAACAAUGCUAAAAGCAUUUAACCAUUUUUGUCUUCAGAAAAGUUUGGGACGAGAUGUCUAUGUGAUGGAGGCAGCCAAGGAAGCGAAUGAGUGGCUAUACUGAUUUAACAUUUCUUGACGUUGACUGGAGAUUUUUCCCCCCUUUUCCCCCAGAACAGAUCGGUAUUCACCAGGUUUUGCCCGAGGGGGAACACCAGCCACCCCGUCUGUCGGCUUCAAUUUACCCCCGAGGAACUGUGCCUAUUCAUACACUCAAAAGCAAAACAACAGAAUUGUCACUGACAUUGUCGAAACAAAUCUCGUCAGUCCCAUUCUCCGGGGUGAUAAAGUGUCAUCACAAUGCAGUAAUGGCUAUAUUUUGUAUCACAAACAUUGUUGCCGAGCUUUCAUGCAUAUCCAGAAUACAGUGACGGCGUCACACACUCGAGUGCACUCAACUGAGUCGACAGUAUCAGAGGCAUCUCAAUAAAGUGGUGGCAGCUUUGAAAAAAGAUUAAAUGUUCUUGUGAUCACUGUGAGCAGGUGACUGACGCACAGCAGACACAGCUUUGUGGUUCGCUUCUCUAGCUUCUAAAAGCCUGCAGCUCAUUAGUGGAGGCAGCAGGUUGUCAAAGAGCACAAACUGCAGCUACGUGUUGCUGUACUUUGCAUCUUAGCCUAAUAGUUUGUGCUAAACGCUAAACGUCUCUAAAUUCUAAAUGGACAGUUUGAAUCCCAUAAUACACAUGAUUCUCUGAAAGCUCUGCAGGAAUCAAAGGAUAGAUAUUUACAGUCUUGUUGAUGCAUAUCUGUAUAGUCUACAUGCAUCCGCAGCAAUUCUUGGGGCUGUAUUAAACGAAUAACCACAGACUGAAUGUAUGGAUCAUAGUUAUGGUGACUUAACAUAUACACAUUUACAUUUACAUAGUUUUUUCAGUUAACAACUAUCAACUAUAAUAUGUGCUGUGUACUCAAGCAGAGUAUAGAGUGUUAUAAUGCUAACUUUCGAUUAUUAAUGCUCAACACAAUGAACAGCCAAACGAUGGGAAUGCAAUGAGUGUUGUUUAGGUUCUCUCCUGAUGUCCCUUCAUGCUGAUCAGCCAGCAGAUGUUUGGGAGGCAUAAACGCCGCUCUCUGUCUCCUCCCUCCCGUCCUCCUGUCACUCCUUCUCUGCUUAUCUAAUUAUCUCUGAAUUUCUUUUUUCGAUCCGUUGUCACAAAAGAUUGAAAUGAAGGAGGUGUUGUCGUGUGAGCAGACGCCCAGCUGGGUUCAAACCUGCUUUCCCUCACCUGAUAGAAUUUAUUAAUCCAUAUAUAGUGCUGAUUAUUGAACGAUGUGUUUUUCUAUUGGACAUGACAGUUUCCCUCCAUCCAAGACUUUCCCCCUCUCCAUUACAGGGACCAAUUCAUCCGCUUCUCCAUUUCUUGUUUUUGUGCAGCUACUCUUGAGCAUUGUGUAUCAAAUAAAGCAUGAGCAGUUAGUGCUUUACUAAGAAGUGAAGAUUCAUGGGAUUGAGCCGGGGACCUCACACAAUGACAGCAUGCGCUCUUCUACUCAGCUACUUAUAGGUUGAUCGUUCACGUUUCUGUCACAUCUAUGCUAUUUAGAAGUUCGAAGGCCGACAAACCGACCGGUGUCGACCAACCCGCCGCAGAAAUUUUGCUUAAACAACUAACUUCUCGUUUCAAAAAGUCCUAAAAUUACAUUCCACAACUUAAAUAUGCAAGUCCGGUCUUAAAAGCAUAUUAAGGAAGGUCGUAAGAUUCUUGCUGUUUAAAAACUGCCCUCUUUGCUUCCGCCUUCCGGUGUAACUGAGACCUUCACCAUGCUAGUGAGAUUUCAUUCAUACACACUAGGGAGAUUACUCGUAUGAAUACAUGUGAAACGCUUGCACAUCCUCAUGUAAGAGCACGCACAACUAAAAAACGUACACAUGUGAAACAUUUAUACAAAUAUAUGUGAAGCACUUGCAUAUGUAUCUAUCUAUCUAUCUAUAUGCGUGUGUGUGAACGUAAGAGUGUUUCGUUAGUGAGUGCGAGAGCGUCUCAAUAGUUUUUCCUGUUUUAAUGGACUAUUAAGUAUGUACAUAACAUAAUUAACGCGUAUUUUGUGGCAAAGACAUGGUUGUUUGUAAAUCAUUAAUAACACCUUCUGAUAGAAUAUCUUGAAACAUAUGUCGACUAUGUCAUCUUACGUCAGGCAAAGCUCACCACCUAGUCCUCUUUUUUCCUCAAUAUUCCAUGGUUGACAGAAGGCUGGAUCUUGGUAUCUGUUACGUGCCUUGUUUUGUUUUGCUGUGUUCUCUGCCUGUGUGUGUUUGUGUGUGUGUGUGUGUGUGUGUGUGUGUGUGUGUGUGUGUGCAUGAUUCUCAGGUGUGCUGGUGAUGUCACUCCUGCAGCUGCAGCUCAUCAGGAAGGGGUUAAAUGGCUGUGCCAAGCCAGAGUGAGGUGGUUGCUUCCGUGGAAGCCCGAGCGUGACCAGAGACGUGUUGGGUUGCUUCUAUGGAAGCCAGAGUCAGACUCUAUCAGCUGUUUAGUAACCAAUCAGAUUCUAUACACGGUUUCCGGGAGCCAAUCACUUUGUUGCUGUCAAACUUUUUAAAAGUGUUCUCCUCUCUGUUGGCUGUCAGCUGUCAUUUCAGUGUGUAGCUGAUGCGACCCUCCUCCACCCCUGUCGCCUUCAGUCAGCAUCGGCGUUGUUCCUGGUUCAUCAUCAGGUUGCUGCUAUUCCUUUCACCUCCACCACCACCACCAGUGUCUGGACUCCAGGGGGAUUAGGCCUAUUGGACCUCAGUAUGAUGGAGUCCAAUCGGCAAAGACGUUGCACAAUUCAUAUUUGAUGCGUGUGUAAUAAAGUAUUAUUCUAUUAAUUGAGUCUCUCCUGAUUGAAAUAACCUUAUUCGCCGUUUGUCCAGAUCUCCCGGGUUUAUAAUUUUACAUUGUUUGCGUCCUCCACCGCUAGACACUUUAGGGACGUAACACUAUCGGAUUCAGUACUGAAGCUGGACUCUGUACAGUUUUAAAAGCUCUGACACCAGAUCAGCCAGAGGUUCCUUUCCUCUCAAACAAUAAAUGCUUUCAAACGGAAUGACCGUGAACAUUUCAGGCAAAGAAGAACUCUUGCCUUUGAAAUGGGAAUAUCGUGCAUCUGCCCAGGCCCACAUUGCAGCUCAGUGAUAAAGCAAACAGAGGCAACCGGAGCCAAACGCUGUGGUAGUGUCCCCUGUAAAGGGUUUACUCUGCUAUCAGCCGCCCACAGCAGAAGGAACUACGCUUAAAACCAUGUUUCCGCAAUAAAAAUAACAUCUACUGUGAUAUUCACCAUAGUGAUGUUACGCAUUCCUCCCCUAAAAUUGACGCUUAUUCUUUUUGUAAAACACGUAGACCUCUCUGACAGCUACGAACCCUGUUCCCACUGUUCCCCCUGUUUUCUAUCACUAAGACCCCUCUUCUCCAGCUGGAUGAGGGUCAAAACAUGUUGUCAGGAGCGGCUUAGCACGCAACAGACCUGUCUGAUCCCGUCAGAGGUCAGAUUUUAUCAUUAAGAAACAAUGAUCCCAUCGCCUCACAUGCUGCAAAAGGUAAACAAGCUCGCUGCCUUCCACGCUCAGCUUGCCAAGACUAAUAAAACACACACACACACACAAAUGUGUGGAUGCUUGAUAUCCUAAACGACAACAACCGAACAACCCUUUUUUGUUUGAUGUAAUGCAAGAGCACUGCUGCAAUAGUGAGAUUAAAAAAAUCCUUGAAGACUAUCUUUUAUAUUUAGAGUCAACUCUGAAAUCCAACCGAGUCGCGCGUUUGGCUGGUUCUUGGCCCGCAUGUAAAGCACCUGUGGAGUAGAUGAUCCACUAUGUAAGCAGCUGUAAACCUCCGUUUAAACAAAGUAUGAGCUGGCGCCUAAACUUGCUUCCUUCAUUUAUGCACCCCCACACUUACAAUCCUGUUUUGCAGAUUUGUACGCUGCCGAUCACAGAGGUUUUUUUUCCCCCCACUAGUCCUGUAUUUAUGUCACAGUGAGCCGAGGAGCUUCACUUUGUACCAAGCACUUGUUUCUUCAAUUAGAUCUCAGUGGGGCGGAGGGGUACAAUGUCGUUCUCGCCCCGGGCUUUCUCCUGCUCCCUGGCUCUCCACGCUGCUCGAGUGGGUUAACAGGAUUAAGGGGACAUUUGCAUCAGGAUGGGUGGAACGCCGAGUGUGUUGGCAGGGACUCCAUCGUGGUAUGUGGUUAGAUAUCGCUGAGAGAGUUCAACGCGUAGCGUAUUUAGGUCAGAUUUCGAAAUUGCAUACACUGACACGUACACAAAUGCACCCAGAGGAGGUCAAGGACCGGAGGAGGAGACAGACAGGCGGGACGGAUCGCAGUCAAAGACAAUGGGUUGAAAAGGGCGUUGGGCCGUGUCGGGGGGUUGUGCGUCUUGACAUUGUGCUUUAAUCUAAGAAACUGAGUCUGGAUUUUGAGGGAGUAGAUGUUUUCAUAAUCUACUUAACCUGAUUGAGGCCAGCGUCGUCUUCACAGGCUCAAUAAUUGAUAGCACCAUCUGCUAUGGUAUCAAUCAUCCAGAAUCCCGCAGAAUGGCAUUAGGUUAAAGCAAUACUAAGUAAUUACAUUUUACCUUUAUACGCCACAAGUCUGAUACUGAGUAAUUCAAUUGAAUCCUAUUCAUUUAGCUAUAUCUAAAGUGUUUUUAUUACUUUAAUAAAGCAAUGAAUCCAUCUAUCUGGAAAAGUUUCCAUUCAUCCAUUACUUACAGGUGUUAUAGUUGACCAAAAAUGAAAGCGGCUCACAAUAAUCCCACGUAUCCCUUGGCAACUGCUGAAGGACCACCCUGGUUAUGAGUCUCUCCAUUACAUGAUUAUACUUAGUGGUAUUGAAUUGAAGUGACAGGGCAUUACUGGAUAGCAGAAUUUAGUGGCUUACGAAGCAGUUCUUGGUUAAAAUGAGGCUAAUGAUUAUAUUUCAGCUCACACUGAAGAAUGACUACACCUCCGACGUACAACCUCCUAACUAUAGCUGUAACAAUCUUUUUAAUUAGUCAGAGCUUUUCAAUAGAGCAUGUCUGAGAUUGCAUGCGAUCAUGUGUGUGUUUGCUGUCUAUAGGGUGCUUGUGUAUGGCAUGUAAAUAAUUGAUUGGUCAGCAUUGUUAGAACAUCUUUAGUGCACGGUGAUGGAUGGCAGACACAGUUCCCCCACAGGAGUGCAUGAAAGCAGGGCCAGGAAACAUGCUCAUUUCUGACUGAUCAAAAACAGUACUGUUAAAACAUGCACAACACAAUGCAUGCGAUGAUGCGAGAGGGCCGAGCAUUGAGCUGCAACGCUUAAGCAGGUGCAGCUGGAGCCCCAUGAGAGGCCUCUCAACGUGUAUCAUGUUUCUUGGAAGCAUCAGUCAUGUUGUUACAUCAUGUUGGAAAGAACAGGUUGACAGAUUAGUGCAAAUGAAGAACGUUGAGUUUUAACCUGUGAAUAUAAUAAAACUUGAUGCAUGCGACAUACCUGUAAUGCAGCCAGAAGGGAUUCAUGGGAGAUGAAGACAAAAUGAAGUGAACAAUCACUGCAUUUUGGAGAUAAGACAUGUACGAGUUGAGGUAAAAAUACAUUUAAAAAUGAUGUCACGUUAACGUCUUGGAAAAGGACCUGCAAGGACAAAUGAGAAGAGCGUGGAAGGAGAUGGACAUAACACCACACAACACUCUCCAGUUUCAUAUGACUGUGUCCACAAUACCAACGCUUAUCUUUGAAAAAUACUCAGUUGGAGAACAACUAAACUCGAGGACCUUUCUAUCCAAAACAAAAGCUAACUCCUAAAAUGAAUGUCCUCGCAAGAGAAGCCUCAAUGGAUAUUUUCAACUCAUCCAUCUUUGAGAGAAUGAACAUGAGCUUUUCACUCCAAGUGAAAGUGCUGUUAUUGUGUGAAGAAGGAACACAGUAUCAAUGAUUGUAUCAAGUAAGUGUCAGUAUCAAGAUUGCAUUCCUCGGUUUGAGUCAAUCUCUUCUUGGAAGGAUACAGUAGCUGCUCAGUAGCAUGUAGCAGUCUGUAAUGUUUAUCAUGCAGUUUAUUAGGCCGUGUAUCGCGGGAUCUUGGCCAACAACCUCCUUCCCUCAGUAAGAGCGUUGAAGAUGAGUCGUGGCUGGGUCUUCCCGCAUGACAACGACCCGAAACACACAGCCAGGGCAACUAAGGAGUGGCUCCGUAAGAAGCUUCUCGAGGUCCUGGAGAGGCCUAACCCAUCUCAAGACCUGAACCCAAUAGAAAGUCUUUGGAGGGAGCUGAAAGUACGUGUUGGCCAGCGACAGCCCAGAAACCUGAAGGAUCUGGAGAAGGUCUGUAUGGAGGACUGGGCCAAAAUCCCUGCUGUGGAAACCUGGUCAAGAAGAUGCUUUGUCAGUGGGAAAACCUGCAAAAUCGGCAGUGUAUCAAAUACUUGUUCUCCCCACUGAAUACACACGCUACAUGCAUUUUAUAGAUUUUAUGCCACUUUAAAAUUAUUUUUGUCUUUGGAGCAAAGUGUACCCUGAAGUUAAUAAACAAGGUCAAUAUCAACGGCUGUGGGUUUGCGGGUGUGUGCCUGCCAGGUCUGAAGCUGAUCAAGAAGCAUCUGCUCAGUGAUUUUGAGCCAUAAUUACAUUUGCUGGAGGUGGUGGCUUGUCUGUCUCCUACCAUCUCUUUCCUCGGUCACAUUUUCCUUGCAGUCAUCCUCCACCCCCACACUGAUCUCCCAAUUUCAACCAGCGAUCCCCAACCAUUAGUCUCACUGUAGCCUAGAACAGAUCCACAAGCCCACAAUGUCGUACAGAAUCUCCGGUCUGACUGCAAAAAAAGAAGUGUACAUGUGCACACAUCCACUGCAAACACACACAAUGGAAACGACACAUUUACAAGCUGGGGCGAUGCAUAGAAAGGCAUGCACACUGACACACAGAAUAACAGAGGCAAUGCAGAGUCACGCAUUGUGCUUUCCUUACAUCGGGGCCUGAAUAUUAAUGUGUGGGGACAGAUAAGCAGCCCUGGAAAUCCCCUUUACUCCUCCCUAAUUAAUUUAUGCCAAUCUCUAUAUAACAAAGUUAUGCAGAUUUUGUGUUGUGGUUUGAACCAUUGUGGUAUGAAGGCUUCCAUGUGUCGACUUAUCAUGCCACAUAACUAACUGAUAUCAGGAAAAAAAAACUUCUGCUGGAACAUCAUGUUUUUCAUUGCAUUGUGUGGUAAAUUUAUUUAGAGCUUCACCUGUCCAGCGGGGGGCAGCACUCAAGCUAGACUUCAGCUCCAGGAGAACAUCUUAGUCAACUGUCAACACCCUCACUCUCCAGAUGCUCUGGAGUCAGACUUAAGAGGCCCUGAAUCGUGUCUGGACCUCCACGCUGACAUUGAUAAAUAUACCAGCCACCCAAAAGUCAAGGGUGGAGGCAGCGUGGGGAUUUCCCCAACCCCCCAAAUCCUAGUGCCGCUAUACUGAUGAAGACGUUCAUUGUGAUACUGAGUGAUGUUGAGUCAUUCAAAAGUCGCUGGCCGCGUAAAGAUGAGAUGCUCGCAGUGUGAGCUUAAACGGGCUCAAUUAGAGACGGCGCCACCACUCCUUAGCUCUAUGUUGCUUUCCUUUAUCGUCUGCCCCUUACCUCCGACCCCUGUCCUC
This is a long non-coding RNA of Gasterosteus aculeatus aculeatus (three-spined stickleback), 8467 nucleotides long. NCBI's taxonomy places the organism in Eukaryota, Metazoa, Chordata, Actinopteri, Perciformes, Gasterosteidae. The record is from Ensembl.